CGAUCAAUGCAGUUAAAUUUUUUAGCGAAAGUUCACUCAUUUUCCAUUCUUCUUUCCAGUCUUUCUAUUUUAUCAAGUGGAAGGAAUUUUAGAAAGACUGAAAGAGAGUAAUAGGGGCAGACACAAGUUGUAAAAUGCCACCUCAGUCCCCACCCCCUAAACCCCAAAACUUCACCUUCUUCCACGGCCACCGCAAGCCCUCACAAAACCGCCUUACAGUCCGCGGCGGCCUCUUCUCCAACCGCGUCUCCCUCCCAAACCGCAAAUACCCCACCGCCGCCCCCCAAUCUCACCCCUUCGAACUCUCCAAAUGGGACCCACACCUCCCCCAAUCCUCGCCGUCCACUUCAUCAUCCAACCCUGCCGACACGACACUCCUCUCAUUUCUCUCCCCUAUCGCGCGCUUCAUUCUCGACGCGUUCCGCAAGAACCAGAACCACUGGGGCCCACCAGUCGUCUCGGAGCUCCGAAAGCUCCGCCGGGUUACGCCCGACCUCGUCGCCGAGGUGCUCAAGGUCCAAAACGACCCCGUCUCCGCUUCCAAGUUCUUCCACUGGGCAGGUAAGCAAAAGGGUUUCAAGCACACUUAUGCUUCCUACAAUGCCUUGGCCUAUUGUCUGAACCGGUCCAACCGGUUCCGGUCCGCGGACCAAGUCCCAGAGUUGAUGGACUCGCAGGGCAAACCGCCCAGCGAGAAACAGUUUGAGAUUCUCAUCAGAAUGCACUCCGAUGCCAAUAGAGGUCUUAGGGUUUAUUACGUGUAUGAAAAAAUGAAAAAAUUUGGGGUUAAACCCAGGGUUUUCUUGUACAAUAGGAUCAUGGAUGCAUUAGUGAAGUCGGGUUAUUUGGAUUUGGCGUUAUCGGUUUACGAAGACUUUAGGGGUGAUGGGUUGGUCGAGGAGAGUGUUACUUUUAUGAUCUUGAUAAAGGGUCUUUGUAAAAUGGGAAGAAUUGAUGAAAUGUUGCAGCUUUUGGAAAGAAUGAGGGUGAAUUUGUGUAAACCUGACGUGUUUGCAUACACGGCAAUGAUUAAGGUUUUGAUUUCAGAGGGGAACUCGGACGGCUGUUUGAGGGUUUGGGAGGAAAUGAAGAGAGAUAGGGUAGAGGCGGACGUUAUGGCAUAUGCAACUCUGGUUACGGGUCUGUGUAAGGGAGGGAGGGUGGAGAAAGGAUACGAGUUGUUUAGGGAGAUGAAGGUUAAGGGUUUCCUGAUUGAUAGAGCGAUUUAUGGGGUGUUGACUGAGGGGUUCGUGGCAGACAGGAAGGUUGGAGCGGCAUGUGAUUUGUUGAAGGAUUUGAUGGAUUCAGGGUAUAGGGCAGAUUUGGGGAUAUAUAAUUCUCUUAUUGAGGGUUUAUGUAAUGCGAAGCGGGUUGACAAAGCUUAUAAGAUUUUCCGAGUUACAGUUCAAGAGGGUCUUCAGCCAGAUUUUGCUACGGUGAAUCCCAUUUUGGUGUCUUAUGCUGAGACGAGAAGAAUGGAUAACUUUUACGAUAUGCUUGCAGAGAUGGAGAAAUUUGGUUUUCCUGUUAUUGAUGAUCUUUCAAAAUUCUUUUCCUUUAUGGUAGGAAAGGAGGAUGGAGUACCUUUAGCUUUGGAAGUGUUUGGGGAGUUGAAAGUUAAAGGUUAUUAUAGUGUUGGAAUCUACAAUAUCCUUAUGGGGGCCCUCCACAAAUCUGGGAAAGUGAAGAAAGCAUUGUCUCUCUUUAAUGAAAUGAAGGAUGUGGAUUUGCAGCCCGACGCGUCUACUUAUAGCAUUGCAAUUAUGUGUUUUGUUGAAGAUGAGGACAUCCAUGAUGCUUGUGCCUCUCAUAAUAAGAUAAUUGAGAUGUCUUGUGUUCCUUCUAUCUCUGCUUAUUGUUCUCUUGCAAGAGGUCUUUGCAAAGUUGGCGAGAUUGAUACAGUUAUGCUGCUUGUUCGUGACUGCUUGGCCAGUGUGACAAGUGGGCCCAUGGAAUUUAAGUAUUCUCUUACCAUUCUCCAAGCAUGUAAAUCUAAUAAUGCUGAGAAGGUGAUUGAAGUACUAAACGAGAUGAUGCAGCAGGGUUGCCCUCCGGAUGAUGUUAUAUACUCUGCUAUAAUCUCUGGGAUGUGUAAGCAUGGAACAAUAGAGGAGGCAAGGAAGAUAUUUUCUAAUUUGAAAGAGCGCAAACUUUUAACAGAAGCCAAUAUGAUUGUGUAUGAUGAAGUAUUAAUUGAACACAUGAAGAAGAAGACGGCGGAUCUGGUGGUGUCAGGAUUGAAGUUUUUCGGUUUAGAAUCCAAGUUGAAAGCAAAGGGUUGUAAACUGCUGUCGUGAUGAAUUAUGAAGCCAGGUACUGAAUUCACUGGUUACUUGGCUUUUAACAUGUUUAAUAUGUAUAAGAUAGUCCAUAACCCAUUGGGGAGUACGCACCUUCUGUUGCAAUUUGCUUUUAAUGCAUGAAGUUGUAUCGGGUGAACACUGCAAUUAAGAUCUGUAUGUAUUUGUGGUUGUAGUCUUCAGAGUGGCAGAUGGUGCACCUUUCCAGGGUAGUGUUAUGAGGCUUCAUAUCAGCGGGCAUCAUGAGUGAUGUUUGUUCUUUCAGUGUCUCAUAACUUCUCCAACAGAUUGUGCUUUAGCUCGGCAUAUUUUGGAAAAGAAUCAAGAAUAUUUUGUUUAUCAGAGAUUAAGCGCAAAGAGGUGUUAAAAUUAUCUUCAAGUUAUCUUCAAGAAUCAAGAAUAUUUUGUUUAUCAGAGAUUAAGCACAAAUGGAAGGCUCAAACGGGGGAGAUGAUGGGUUGAAAAAGUUGCAGAGAGGCCCGCAUAUGGAUGUGGAUGGGGCAGACUGAUUCUUGAUAUAUGUGGAGAAGAAAACCUAGUUCAGAACUUCCAUUCUGUGUACAGGUCUAAGCCGUUUACAUGGUUAUUUGUCUUCCAGUAACCAAGUCUACCAAUCAAAUUAUUGUUGUUUUUGUAAGAAAGUCUAUGAGGGUUGAUAUUCCAUUGAUAGCAGGGGUAGAUAUUAGGGUUUAGGGGAAAUGUUCAUAAGUUGAUGUUUCCUAAGUUUUUUGCAAUAGGUCAAAGAACACAGAUCUGAAAUGUUCAUAAUUUGUGAGACAAAUUGUGACCGCAAUCGUAAUGCCAAUUUCAUGUAA
Prunus avium (sweet cherry) is the source of this 3115-nucleotide RNA transcript. It is a transcript of the gene named pentatricopeptide repeat-containing protein At4g20740, with no coding region annotated. Lineage: Eukaryota; Viridiplantae; Streptophyta; Magnoliopsida; Rosales; Rosaceae. The record is from RefSeq and is a predicted model, not a curated record.